RNAcentral lists this ribosomal RNA (447 nucleotides) under uncultured bacterium. RNAcentral describes it as "bacterial SSU rRNA". It matches the Rfam family "Bacterial small subunit ribosomal RNA", at positions 329 to 793 of the family's 1533-position model. The record is from RNAcentral.
GGCCAGACUCCUACGGGAGGCAGCAGUGGGGGAUAUUGCACAAUGGGGGGAACCCUGAUGCAGCGACGCCACGUGGGUGAAGAAGCGCCUCGGCGCGUAAAGCCCUGUCAGCAGGGAAGAAAAUGACGGUACCUGAAGAAGAAGCCCCGGCUAACUACGUGCCAGCAGCCGCGGUAAUACGUAGGGGGCAAGCGUUAUCCGGAUUUACUGGGUGUAAAGGGGGCGCAGACGGCGAUGCAAGCCAGGAGUGAAAGCCCGGGGCCCAACCCCGGGACUGCUCUUGGAACUGCGUGGCUGGAGUGCAGGAGGGGCAGGCGGAAUUCCUGGUGUAGCGGUGAAAUGCGUAGAUAUCAGGAGGAACACCGGUGGCGAAGGCGGCCUGCUGGACUGCAACUGACGUUGAGGCCCGAAAGCGUGGGGAGCAAACAGGAUUAGAUACCCCCGUAC